RNAcentral lists this ribosomal RNA (497 nucleotides) under uncultured bacterium. RNAcentral describes it as "partial 16S ribosomal RNA". It matches the Rfam family "Bacterial small subunit ribosomal RNA", at positions 28 to 507 of the family's 1533-position model. The record is from RNAcentral.
GAUGAGCGCUGGCGGCGUGCCUAAUACAUGCAAGUCGAGCGAACAGACGAGGAGCUUGCUCCUCUGACGUUAGCGGCGGACGGGUGAGUAACACGUGGAUAACCUACCUAUAAGACUGGGAUAACUUCGGGAAACCGGAGCUAAUACCGGAUAAUAUAUUGAGCCGCAUGGUUCAAUAGUGAAAGACGGUUUUGCUGUCACUUAUAGAUGGAUCCGCGCCGCAUUAGCUAGUUGGUAAGGUAACGGCUUACCAAGGCAACGAUGCGUAGCCGACCUGAGAGGGUGAUCGGCCACACUGGAACUGAGACACGGUCCAGACUCCUACGGGAGGCAGCAGUAGGGAAUCUUCCGCAAUGGGCGAAAGCCUGACGGAGCAACGCCGCGUGAGUGAUGAAGGUCUUCGGAUCGUAAAACUCUGUUAUUAGGGAAGAACAAAUGUGUAAGUAACUAUGCACGUCUUGACGGUACCUAAUCAGAAAGCCACGGCUAACUACGUG